CACCUCUCCCCUGGUUCUCUGGAAGAUUUGAUAAGUCUUAUUUCUCUGGCUACUUGGUUAACAUUGACUUCUGUUUUAGGAUAGGUGGAAGACAAGAUCGCCUAUGCUUUAUUAUAGCCACUCCACCAGCCUGAGGGGAAACAAGGCAAGUCUGAGGACUCCAUUGCACAUGCAAGCAAGCCAACGGGAAGCUGUCAAAGGUCUGGAAUACAUUUGGAAGACAGAUGACACAGAAGAUAAUUGGCACUGCCGCCUUGAAAUGACCCUGGAGAACCAUGAGGCAGGACAAGCAUUGUGAAGUGGAGACUGCUAGCCAGCUGUUUCCUACUUCUUAAAAAAAUUAUAACACUACUUUUAAUAUUUUGGGGAGAGCCCCACUAGAAUAAAAGGCACUGAGAAGGGGUAACCUUCUUA
Long non-coding RNA from Suricata suricatta (meerkat), 414 nucleotides. RefSeq lists it as uncharacterized. The record is from RefSeq and is a predicted model, not a curated record. NCBI's taxonomy places the organism in Eukaryota, Metazoa, Chordata, Mammalia, Carnivora, Herpestidae. The transcript has 3 exons.